CGACGGAAAAAACAACUCAAUUGUAAGUACACUCAAAUGAAGGAUUUAAUUAAAUAUGAAUAUAAUAACCCAUAGCGUUGGUAAAUUUCUAAUAAGAACAGAAAAUAUUUUCGAUUAAUAGGAAUGUAUUAAAAUGAAAGUGGACGAAAUACACAAAUAGCUUUACAAAUUGAGACAUUGUUUCAUUGAAGAAGAACAACCAUCACUUAAAUCCGGCGUAUUAAGAUGAAAAUGUCCAGAUCAAUUAUUUUAUUCGUAAACACUGUCUUUGGAAGCACAGUCUAUGGUUGUCCAUGCUGGAACUUGGAUGUUGAUUACACAAACUCGAAUCUAACGACAUUCCCGUCUAAUAUUCCACAUGCUGCACGAAUUUUGGAAUUAAAAAGCAACCGACUGAACUGCUCCAACUACAGGAUGAAAAUAUUUAAGGAUUUUCUAAACUACAUUACAAAUUUGAGAGUUUCUGGUGCAAUGUGUGAAUACAAACUGUUAAAUAACCAUAACUUCACCAAAUGCAGAGUUAUUAUAAAUACAGACGUUAUAAUAUAUAUAUCGUGUGGACCCGACAUUUCCGCCAUUCUCAUUAUCAGAUACAUUAACAAAAAUGCAGGAAUUAACCGAAAUAUAUAUGAAAGUAACCGCGAAACUAACAUAGAACAUGACGUUGAAACAAGCCAAAACGUCUCAAUACGAAAGGAAAGUGGUCACAAAAAUAAACAUAUCAACGAGCUUGAGAUGUCGAAUUUAAUUUUUCCAUCAACCGAACAACGACGUCUUACUAUGGCUACAACUCAUGUGAUUCGUCAUAUAGGAUUCGGCUACCAAACGACGGUUAUCUGAAUCCAUACCAGUCAUUGCUGCCUACACUGCAGCAGUUUCAAAACAUGCAAGAGGAUUCUGAUAAAUAUGGUAAUCCCCCAGAAGAGAACAGGGUGAUUACAAAUCUGUUAAGAAUUAAGACUUUAUUCAAUAUAUAUUAGUGAACAGUCUUUAAAGAAGGACAUAAAAAAAGAUCCAAAUAUAAAGAAAUACAGAAAAAAAUGUACGGACUUUGCAGCACACAUAUUUAAAGCCACAGUUCAAUUACAAUUAAAAAACAGCAAGAAAGGCGGAGCCGACUAACGUUGAAAUAAAAUAAGACAAAGAUAUAAUAUACUGUUUCUGACAUUCUCCGUUGAUAAAUUUAGAAGUUAUUCAGAAACUAAUGACUAAGUUUUUUACUCCCUGAGGAAAGGUUAAACUUUCAGAAAUAAUUUACUGUAAAUAUUAAUAUAAUAAAAUAUAAAUUUUACGAUUGGAAUGUAUCGGUAUAUGUAUCUGUUCAGAUAAACGGGAUAGGUUAUAAAGUUUUUUUCGAAAUAUUCCACUUUUUUUAGUUGCUUUGAGAAGAUAUUGUUUUUAAGCUUAGAGCUCAUAUCAACCUUGGUUCUGUUCCUUUUUUUUAAUUGGCCAAGUAGUUUCAUUUAUUCUUAAUUUGUGGCCUUGUAAAAUAUAUCUAGUGAGUAAUACUAUUUUCCUAUAUAUACCUGUGUGAUCAUAUAUUUUCUAUUGAUACCUUGUGUAUUCAAAUGCCAUAUUAUGUUGAGAUUUAAAAAAAAGUGUAUAUAGAGUGAU
This is a long non-coding RNA of Mytilus californianus (California mussel), 1614 nucleotides long. RefSeq lists it as uncharacterized. The transcript is spliced from 4 exons. Lineage: Eukaryota; Metazoa; Mollusca; Bivalvia; Mytilida; Mytilidae. The record is from RefSeq and is a predicted model, not a curated record.